Triticum aestivum (bread wheat) is the source of this 129-nucleotide non-coding RNA. The record is from Rfam. Lineage: Eukaryota; Viridiplantae; Streptophyta; Magnoliopsida; Poales; Poaceae.
AAAGUACUCCCUCCGUCCCAAAAUUCUUGUCUUAGAUUUGUCUAGAUACGGAUGUAUCAAGUCACAUUUUAGUAUUAGAUACAUCCGUAUCUAGACAAAUCUAAGACAAGAAAUUUGGGACAGUAAUCU